UACGUAGGGUGCGAGCGUUGUCUGGAAUUAUUGGGCGUAAAGGGCUCGUAGGCGGUUUGUCGCGUCGGGAGUGAAAACUCAGGGCUUAACCCUGAGCCUGCUUCCGAUACGGGCAGACUAGAGGUAUGCAGGGGAGAACGGAAUUCCUGGUGUAGCGGUGGAAUGCGCAGAUAUCAGGAGGAACACCGGUGGCGAAGGCGGUUCUCUGGGCAUUACCUGACGCUGAGGAGCGAAAGUGUGGGGAGCGAACAGG
RNAcentral lists this ribosomal RNA (253 nucleotides) under uncultured bacterium. Its description in RNAcentral is "partial 16S ribosomal RNA". It matches the Rfam family "Bacterial small subunit ribosomal RNA", at positions 524 to 776 of the family's 1533-position model. The record is from RNAcentral.